Molecule: non-coding RNA, 273 nt
Organism: Pelobates cultripes (western spadefoot toad)
Lineage: Eukaryota; Metazoa; Chordata; Amphibia; Anura; Pelobatidae
Source: the annotation of a GenBank genome assembly
GCAGAACGGGACAGUAUGGACUUUUACCCAGAUAGCCGUCCCAUGGAGUCAUUCGUAUACCGAAGGACUGGUGAAAGACCGACUCCAUGGCGAUUCGACUAGAUACAUCGGAUCUGAGCGCUAUUCGGUGAAAAUGUGCACUCAGAUCCAGGCUGUCUGGGGAUACGUUAUACGAACUAUAUCCAUUCGGUAUUUUCCCAGUUAUGUAUUUUAAUGUAUUUUUGUUACUGUAUUUUAAAAUGGCGAUUGUCUCUACCCUGGGAGAUAAUUAGG